AUUGAACGCUGGCGGCAUGCCUAACACAUGCAAGUCGAACGGCAGCGCGGGGGCAACCCUGGCGGCGAGUGGCGGACGGGUGAGGAAUGCAUCGGAAUCUGCCUCGUUGUGGGGGAUAACGUAGGGAAACUUACGCUAAUACCGCAUACGACCUACGGGUGAAAGUGGGGGACCGCAAGGCCUCACGCGAUGAGAGGAGC
RNAcentral lists this ribosomal RNA (200 nucleotides) under uncultured bacterium. Its description in RNAcentral is "partial 16S ribosomal RNA". It matches the Rfam family "Bacterial small subunit ribosomal RNA", at positions 30 to 230 of the family's 1533-position model. The record is from RNAcentral.